This 381-nucleotide ribosomal RNA is filed under the name uncultured Rickettsiales bacterium. RNAcentral describes it as "bacterial SSU rRNA". It matches the Rfam family "Bacterial small subunit ribosomal RNA", at positions 29 to 419 of the family's 1533-position model. Lineage: Bacteria; Pseudomonadati; Pseudomonadota; Alphaproteobacteria; Rickettsiales. The record is from RNAcentral.
AAUGAACGCUGGUGGCAGGCCUAACACAUGCAAGUCGAACGGAGUUAUAUUGUAGCUUGCUAUGGUAUAACUUAGUGGCAGACGGGUGAGUAAUGUAUAGGAAUCUACCUAGUAGUACGGAAUAAUUGUUGGAAACGGCAACUAAUACCGUAUACGCCCUAUGGGGGAAAAAUUUAUUGCUAUUAGAUGAGCCUAUAUUAGAUUAGUUAGUUGGUGAGGUAAAGGCUUACCAAGACAAUGAUCUAUAGCUGAUCUGAGAGGAUGAUUAGCCACACUGGAACUGAGAUACGGUCCAGACUCCUACGGGAGGCAGCAGUGGGGAAUAUUGGACAAUGGGCGAAAGCCUGAUCCAGCCAUGCCGCAUGAGUGAAGAAGGCCUCG